AUGUGGGGGGCGGGGACAGGGGGGCAACCCCCCGCCCCCUUCCCCGGCCAACCUGGAGCCCCGCCCCGGCUCCGAGCGCGCUGCCCAGCGCCCAGCACACCCGGGCCCCGCGCGGCCGUCAUGUGCGCCCCACAGCCGGGCCGGCGGGAGGCCCCCAGGGGCGCUCAGUCCGGCCGUGCCGGCGCCUUCUCUUCCCCCUGGCUUCUUCUACCUCUCUCAUCCCAGAACCCGGCGGCUCCAGUCCUCGCCGCCGCCUCCCCUCCGCUAGCUCCCGUUGAAACGGCCCUAGGUGUAUACCCAGACAAGCAUGUGGACCUGAGUGCACUGUCCAGUAGCCAGAAGCAGCCUAAGCUGUCCCACAAGAUGUGGGCUCCCUCUGUACCGUGGAAUAGCAUUCAGCCAUGAAAAGGAGCCGAGUGCUGAAGAGCACUGCAUGGCAUUGUGCUCAAGAGGAAGAAACCAGACACAGAAGUCCACCUGUGUGCAGCAGGACAGUCCAGAGCCGCCGAACCAGGUCAGUGCCAGAGGCUGUGGGGAGGAAGAGGUGGGAAAUGACCCCCUCAGGGGGCUAGGACUCCCGUCUGGGAGGUGGGCAAAGGUUUUGCAGCCAGAUAGAAGUGGUGUUUGGUUGCAAAACAUUGUGAUGUACUGAAGAGCAUUGAAUUGCAUGCUUUAAAAUAGCUAACUGGGCCAGCGUUGUGGCACAGUGGGUUAAGCCACCACCUGCGACGCCAGCAUCCCAUAGGAGCGCCAGUGCUGGUCCCUGCUGCUCCACUUGCAAUAUUGUCCCUCCCCAUGUGCCUGGGAAAGCAGCAGGAAGAUGGCCCAAGUACUUGGGUCCCUGCCACCCAUGGGGGAGACCCCGACAGAGCUCCAGGCUCGUGGCCCAGCCCUUGCUCUCGUGGGCCUUGGGGGAAUGAACCAGUGGAUGGAAAGUCUGCUGUGCCCCUCUGCCUUUCAAAUAAAUAAUAUUUUUUAAAUUUAUUCA
RNAcentral lists this long non-coding RNA (988 nucleotides) under Oryctolagus cuniculus (rabbit). RNAcentral's name for it is "lncRNA (ENSOCUG00000030458.1)". Lineage: Eukaryota; Metazoa; Chordata; Mammalia; Lagomorpha; Leporidae. The record is from RNAcentral.